GUAAAAUAGUAUUUACUGUUUGUUUCUGCCUCUGCCUCUUUGAGCAUAAACCCAGUGUGCAUCUGACCAGUGGCUCCUCAUCUUUGGCUCUGAGUUCAUCUCCACAAGAUUCCACAACAGUUUUGGGGGCUCGUCCGGGAUUCUACCUACAUCAGGGAGACAGGGAGAGGGAGAGAGAAGAAACAAAGGCUCAUGGGAAAGAGCACAAGGCCUCCACCAGCCCAGGCUGCACUAAUUGACGACUGCAGGGAGUGAAAGACGAGAGAAUCUCCAUGCUGUGAAGCAGCAACGCUGACCAUCCUGACACUAGAGCACUGCUUUAUAAAGGUAGAAUCCCCAUCUUUGUGAAUCCAU
Molecule: long non-coding RNA, 354 nt
Filed under: Gouania willdenowi (blunt-snouted clingfish)
Lineage: Eukaryota; Metazoa; Chordata; Actinopteri; Blenniiformes; Gobiesocidae
Description: lncRNA (ENSGWIG00000014197.1)
Source: RNAcentral